AACUUUUCUGCUGGUUAAGAUGAUGUAAGAAAACUAAUUUAAAGAGCAAUCAACCUGUAGUUAACAAUGCUGUAUUAUACACUGGAAAAAAUGGUAAAAGAGUAGAUCUCAUGUUAAACAUCCUUGCUCCAAUAAAAACCAAAAAACAAGAUGAAUUGACUUUCUUGCCAAUAUAAAGAGAUAUUCAAAUGCACAUGUGCAUAUUAUCAUAGUCCAACUUCUCUGUCAAGUACCAAAUAGACACAACAUUUAUUCCAGUUGUUUAUACUGUAUAUUAUUUUUAUUUCCAGAAUGACCUUGUGUGACCGCCUUAUUCAUGGAUUAAAUACAUUCCAGUAGUGUACACAUAACUAAUCUAUGGAAGGCAUGUAAAAUGAGAUUAGUUCAUGCAAAGUGGAGCGCAUUUCAUUUCAGUUCCCCUUCCAAGCUGAUUGGUUUAGCAGAAAUUUUCAUUUGUCCAAACUAUUCCAGUGAUCUAUUCUGCUGACUUCUCUCUCUGUUGCCUUUAGAAGUAGUCACGUUUCCAUUCAAACUAUUCCAACUCUUGUAGUAACCGCACUUCACAAAGCUUUAUGUAACAUCAAGUUCUUGUCCUGAAAAUAAAAGUCUGGUUACAUUCCUUGUGAAUGCCUUCCUUCAUCUGGGUGGAAUUGAAACUUUUCUGUUUUAUCAGUUCAGAUAACCACCAGGUCACACAGAGGCCACAAAGGAAUCAACAGAAAUGCUUGCUGCUCAACACUUUGCUGGCUUCAGCCACUGCCUUUAGAAAGUCAAUAGAAUGUAUUUUCCUGACAUAAGCUACCUACUUUUUAAAUUUCCCUAUGCCUUUCAUACUCAAGAAGCUGUGAUUCAAAAACUAAAUGAAAUUUCCCUGUUUAUGUUAAAAGUCUACUCCAGAUAUUUUCAGUGACUAUUUUGUCUUUUUAAAGUGUAUGGAUUUCAGAUACAGAUAGAUAGGAUUCUAGUCCAUGACCUCUGGUCUCUCAACUUGCUAUUGCUUUUAAUAAAAAUUAGAGCAGUUGGCUCUGUAGCAGUCAGAUUUGAUUGUAGUUCCUGAUAAAGUAAGCCUUUAUCCAUUUAAAUCCUACUUUAAAGGACAUCAGGACAACCAACCUGAAUUUUUAAAAACUAUUAAUGUUCUGAAUGUUCUUACAAAGUAAGAAAAAGAAACAUGUUCCAAAUUUUUCUGACAUAGUAUUAAAGUUGUACUUCAAUAUAAAGCCUUGAGUGGUAUUUGAAGACAUCUGAUUAAAUGCUUACUGGCUUAGGAGUGCUGAGCAUGAAAUUAAAAGUCAGCAGAAAGUAACAAUGAUGACUACCUACUACUAAAGGAAAUGUAAGUGGCUUUACCCUACAGCCCUGCACCAACCUUUUCCUAGUUGUGCAUUUCCACAGAUAUGGAUUCAGCUUUAUUCCUUCGUUAAGUAAAAUAAGUAAGGAUGAUGGCGGUCAGUUGCCUCUAAAAAGGUAAAGCAUUCCUUCCAAAUCCAUAUGAUACCAUGUCUAUGUCCUAGUUUUACCUAUGCUACCAUAGAAAAGACCUAAAACCGAGUGUGGAAUAUUUUGGUCCUAGAAGCCUAGCAAAAACGACUUGUACAUACUUCAUAACAAAAGUUAUGUACUUAUCUCAUCAAUAGGUUAUAAUAUUGGUGUUGCUUAUCAUCUCAAAGAUCCCAAAGAGUCAUGUUUAUAAGAAAGACAAUAAAUCAUAUGAUAUCUGCCAUUCACAAAAAUAAAAUUAUACUUAAUAUAAUGUUAGCAAGGGCUCUUAAUAGGGAAUUUUUUAAAAUUCAGACUUUGAUAUAUGUUUUGGUACGUGAUUGCUGGAUAAAAACUAUUCCAACACAGUUAUUUAAAGCAAAAACAAAUGGAAUAGGAGAAAGUAUUUGUAAACCUUGUAUCUGAUGAGGGGUUAAUAUCCAAAAUAUGUAAGGUACUCAUGUAACUAGAUAGCAAGAAAACGAAAACAGUAAUACCUGUGAACUAUUAUUCAGCAAUAGAAAACAGUGAGAUGCUAUCACUUGACACAACAUGGAUGAACCUAGAGGACAUUAUAUUAAGUGACACAGAAAGACAUUGUGUGAUGUCGCUUAUAUGUAGAAUCUAAAAAAAAAAAUUGAGUUUGUAGCAGCAGAGAGGAGAAUGGUGGUUACAGGGGUUUCAGGGUGGAAGAAAUGGGAAGAUGUUGGUCAAAGGGUACAGAGUUUCAAAUAUGCAGUACGAAUAAGUUCUGUAGAUCUAAUGUAUAACAUAGUGACUAUAAAUAAUACUGUAUUAAAUAAUUCAACUUUUCUAAGAGAGUAGAUCUUUUUUUAAAAAAAUUGAGGUGUUAUUGAUUUACAUUGCUGUAUUUUAGGUGUAUAACAAAGUAAUUUUUUAUUACAUAUAUAUAUAAAGAGUUUAAUAUUUUUUCAGAUUAUUUUCCAUUAUAGGUCAUGACAGGAUGUUGAAUAUAAUUCCUUAUGCUAUACUGUAAAUCCUUUUUGGUUGUCUAUUUUAUAUAUAGUAGUUUAUAUCUGUUAGUUCCAUACUCCUAAUCCCCCUCUCCCCUCUGGUAACCAUUAAUUUGUUUUCUACAUCUGUGAGUCUGUUUCUGUUUUGUAUAUAGAGUCAUUUGUGUUAUUCAAUUUUAUUUUAUUUUAUUGCUUUUUAGGGUCACACCUGCAGCAUAUGAAAGUUCCCAGGCUAGGGGUCAAAUCACUCCUGUAUUUUCCAGUGUAGGCCACAGCCACAGCAGCAAUGGGGGAUCUGAGCCAUGUCUGUGACCUACACCACAGCUCACAGCAAUGCCAGUGCCUUAAUCCUUGAGUGAGGCCAGGAACUGAAUCCACAUCCUCACAGUUACUCAUCAGGUUCAUUACAGCUGAGCCACAAUGGGAACUCCUCAUGUUAUUUUUUAGAUUCCACAUAUAAGUGAUAGUUUUCAUCUUUUCCAGAUAUAUGCGCGGGACUGGGAUUGCUGGAUCACAUGGUAGUUCAAGUUUUAGUAUUUUAAGGAGCCUCCAUACUAUUGCCCAUUGUGAUUGCACCCAUUUAUAUUCCCACCAAUAGUGUAGGAGGGUUGCUUUUUCUCCACGCCCUCUCCAGCAUUUACUGUUUGUAGGUUUUUUAAUAAUAACCGUUCUGACUUAUGUGAGGUGAUACCUCAUUGUGGUUCUGAUUUACAUUUCUCUAAUUACUGAUGUUGAACAUCUUUUCAUUUGCUUAUGGCCAUCUGUAUGUCUUCUUUGGAUAAAUAUCUAUUUAGGUCUUCUGCCAAUUUUUUGAUUGGGUUGUUUGAUUUUUUGAUAUUGAACUGUAUGAGCUAUUUUCAUAUUUUGGAUAUUAACCCCUUGUCAGCUGCAUCAUUUGCAAAUAAUUUCUCCCAUUCCAUAGGUUGUUUGCUCAUUUUGUUUAUGGUUUCCUGUACUGUGCUAAUAAAGCUUUUCCAUUUGACUAGGUCCCAUUUGCUUAUUUCUCCUUUUAUUUCUUUUGCCUAGAGUAACUGAUCUAAGAAAAUAUUGCUAUAAUUUAUGUCCAGGAAUGUUUUGAUUUUCUUCUCUUCUAGGAGUUUGUAAUAUCAGGACUUGUAUUUAGGACUUUAAACCAACUGGAGUUUACUUUUGGAUAGGAUGUGAAGGAGUAUUCUAAUUUCAUUGAUUUAUGUGUAGCUGUCCAGCUUUCCCAGUGGCACUUGUUGAAGAGACUGUCUUUUCUCUAUCGUAUAUUCUUGCCUCCUGUAUCAUAGAUUAGUUGAUAUAGGUGUUUGGGUUUAUUUCUGGGAUCUCUAUUCUAUUCCACUGAUUUCUAUGUCUAAUUUUGUACCAAUACCACAUUGUUUUGAUUACUGUAUCUAUGUUGUACAGUCUUAGGUCUGUUGUGAGUCUUAGGCAUCAAGCUUUGUUCUUUUUUCUCAGAAUCACGUUGGGUCUUUGUGAUUCCAUAUAAAUUUUAAGGGUUAUUUGUUUUAGUUCUGUGAAAGAUAGAAUGAGUAUUUUGAUAAUGAAUGCAUUAACUCUGUGGAUUGUUUUAGAUAGUAUGACCAUUUUAACAAAAUUAAUUCUUCCUAUCCAAGAGUGUAGGAUAGCUUUCCAUUUCUUUGAAUCCUCUUUAGCAGUGUUUUAUAGUUUUCAGCUUAUAGAUCUUAAGAAUUCUUGGUUAAGUGUAUUUAUUCCUAGGAUUUUUUUGAACAUUGUUUUAUUUUAUUGAAGUAUAGUUGAUUUACAAUGUUAUGUUAAUUUCUGCUGUACGGCAAGAUGAUUCAGUUAUACAUACAUGUGUGUAUGUGUAUAUAUAUAUAUAUGAAAUACUCUUUUUAAAAAUAUUCCUUUCAAUUAUCAUUUAUUAUAGGAUAUUAAAUAUAGUUCUCUGUGUUGAUUAUCCCUUUCAUGUAUAUUCGCUUACAACUGCUAGCCCCAAAUCCCUACCCUGGUUCCCUCCCCCUUGGCAACCACAAGAUUGUUCUCUAUAUCUGUGAGUCUGCUUCUGUUUUUUAGAAAGGGUCUUUUGUGUUAUUUAUUUAUUUUUUUUUAGAUUCCACAUGUAAGUAAUAGAUUUAAGUCUUUAUGACUUAAAUCACUUAGGAUGAUAAUACCUAGGUCCGCCUAUGUUGCUGAAAAUGGCAUUAUUUCUUUCUUUUUGGCUUAGUGGUAUUCCAUUGUGUAUAACUACCACAUCUUUUUUAUCCAUUCAUUUACCAACGUAUGUUUAGGUUGUCUUGGCUAUUGUGAAUAGAGCUGCAAUGAACAUAAGGGUGCAUGUAUCUUUUUGAAUGAAAGGUUUCUCUGGCUAUAUCCCCAGGAGUGGGAUUGCUGGAUCAUAUGGUAACUUUAUCCUUAGUUUUCUGAGGAAUCUCUGUGCUGCUGUCCAUGAUGGUUGCGCCAGUUUACAUUCCCACCAACAGUGUAAAAGUAUUCCCUUUUCUUCACAACCUUAAGAGAAUAGACCUUAAUUUUUCUCACCAAAGGAGCUGGGGAAAACAGAGAACCAUGUGAGAUGAUGUAUAUGUUAGUUAUCUUGACUGUGAUAAUUAUUUCACUAUGUAUACAUAUUAAAACAUCCUUCAAUAUAUACAAUUUUCUCAAUUAUACUUCAGUAGAACUCAGAAAAGUAAAAAUAGUAGUUCCCAUUGUGGCUCCGUGGUUAAGGACCUGACAUUGUCUCUAUGAGCAUGCAGGUUUGAUCCCUGGCCUUGAUCAGUGGAUUAAGGAUCUGGUGUUGCCACAAGCUGCAGUGUAAGUCAUAGAUGAGCCUUGGAUAUGGUGUUGUCAUGGCUGUAGCAUAGGCCACAGCUGCAGCUCUGAUUUGACCCCUGGCCUGGGAACUUCCACAUAUCACAGGCACAGCUGUAAAAAGAAAAAAACAAACAAAUAAAGUUAUUUCCUCAUGAAUCUUUAAUUGGACAACAUUAUGUCUGGUAUAUUUGCCUCUGUCCUCUAUGGUAUGAGUUGGCCCAAAUGAAGCUGAUAGAUGCUGUUCUAAGUGGCUUACUCACAUAGUAAACAAAUCUUUUAUUGCUGUCACAUGGUAGCUCAGCCAGGGCUGUUGCCUAGAAGCCUAGAUUCUUGCUCACAUGAACCUGUCUGCGGUGCUGCUUUGGCUGUCUCAGAGCAUGGAGACUGAGUUCUAAGAAGGAGAAAGCAGUCUUAGACGCACUAGUCUUCCUAAAGAUGCAGCCUCAACUCAGGUGCAACAUCAUUUCUGCUUAUAUUUUAACUGUCAAAGCAGUCCCAAGCCAGCUAAAGCUCAAGUGGGUGAGGACAUAGACUGCAUUUGAUAAGAAAGUGGCUUGCAUGUGUAGGAAAGGAAUAAAUUGAUACUAGCCAUCUUUGCAUACAAGCCCCCACAUUGUAAUUAAGAGGACAACAGAUUCGAAAGUAGGAAUGAGUGACAUUAGACAUUUUAUUUCUAGUCAGCAUAGUCCACUGUAUUCAUUUCAGGAGAUUUUAUUUUAUUUUAUUUU
Molecule: long non-coding RNA, 5941 nt
Filed under: Sus scrofa (pig)
Lineage: Eukaryota; Metazoa; Chordata; Mammalia; Artiodactyla; Suidae
Description: lncRNA (ENSSSCG00035054928.1)
Source: RNAcentral